AGUGAACGCUGGCGGUAGGCCUAACACAUGCAAGUCGAACGGCAGCACAGUAAGAGCUUGCUCUUACGGGUGGCGAGUGGCGGACGUGUGAGGAAUACAUCGUAAUCUACUUUUUCGUGGGGGAUAACGUAGGGAAACUUACGCUCAUACCGCAUCCGACCUACGGGUGAAAGCAGGGGAUCUUCGGACCUUGCGCGAUUGAAUGAGCCGAUGUCGGAUUAGCUAGUUGGCGGGGUAAAGGCCCACCAAGGCGACGAUCCGUAGCUGGUCUGAGAGGAUGAUAGGCCACACUGGAACUGAGACACGGUCCAGACGACUACGGGAGGCAGCAGUGGGGAAUAUUGGACAAUGGGCGCAAGCCUGAUCCAGCCAUACCGCGUGGGUGAAGAAGGCCUUCGGGUUGUAAAGCCCUUUUGUUGGGAAAGAAAAGCAGCAGGUUAAGACCACGCUGUUCUGACGGUACCCAAAGAAUAAGCACCGGCUAACUUCGUG
This 492-nucleotide ribosomal RNA is filed under the name uncultured bacterium. Its description in RNAcentral is "partial 16S ribosomal RNA". It matches the Rfam family "Bacterial small subunit ribosomal RNA", at positions 29 to 507 of the family's 1533-position model. The record is from RNAcentral.